Molecule: ribosomal RNA, 292 nt
Filed under: uncultured bacterium
Lineage: Bacteria
Description: partial 16S ribosomal RNA
Rfam family: Bacterial small subunit ribosomal RNA
Source: RNAcentral
GUGCCAGCCGCCGCGGUAAUACGGAGGUCCCAAGCGUUGUUCGGAAUUACUGGGCGUAAAGGGAGCGCAGGCGGACAGGUCAGUCUAAAGUGGAAAUCCGGGGCUCAACCUCGGACUUGCUUCGGAUACUGCCUGUCUUGAGUUCGUGAGAGGAAGAUGGAAUUCAGGGUGUAGCGGUGAAAUGCUCAGAUAUCCUGAGGAACACCGGUGGCGAAAGCGGUCUUCUGGCGCGAAACUGACGCUGAGGCUCGAAAGCGUGGGGAGCAAACGGGAUUAGAUACCCGCGUAGUCC